UGGGGAAUAUUGCACAAUGGGCGCAAGCCUGAUGCAGCCAUGCCGCGUGUGUGAAGAAGGCCUUCGGGUUGUAAAGCACUUUCAGCGGGGAGGAAGGCGAUAAGGUUAAUAACCUCAUCGAUUGACGUUACCCGCAGAAGAAGCACCGGCUAACUCCGUGCCAGCAGCCGCGGUAAUACGGAGGGUGCAAGCGUUAAUCGGAAUUACUGGGCGUAAAGCGCACGCAGGCGGUCUGUCAAGUCGGAUGUGAAAUCCCCGGGCUCAACCUAGGAACUGCAUUCGAAACUGGCAGGCUAGAGUCUUGUAGAGGGGGGUGGAAUUCCAGGUGUAGCGGUGAAAUGCGUAGAGAUCUGGGGGAAUACCGGUGGCGAAGGCGGCCCCCUGGACAAAGACUGACGCUCAGGUGCGAAAGCGUGGGGAGCAAACAGG
RNAcentral lists this ribosomal RNA (429 nucleotides) under Chloroflexota bacterium. Its description in RNAcentral is "Chloroflexi bacterium partial 16S ribosomal RNA". It matches the Rfam family "Bacterial small subunit ribosomal RNA", at positions 355 to 776 of the family's 1533-position model. The record is from RNAcentral. Lineage: Bacteria; Bacillati; Chloroflexota.